This 300-nucleotide ribosomal RNA is filed under the name uncultured Halococcus sp. RNAcentral describes it as "partial 16S ribosomal RNA". The stretch from base 53 to 300 matches the Rfam family "Bacterial small subunit ribosomal RNA", at positions 548 to 795 of the family's 1533-position model. Lineage: Archaea; Methanobacteriati; Methanobacteriota; Halobacteria; Halobacteriales; Halococcaceae. The record is from RNAcentral.
UGUAGUGUGGAGAGUGUGACUAGGUGCAGCUGUAGGGGACAGGCGUGAAGGUGAAUGACGUGGCGUAAGGUGUGGCCAGGCGGCCGCGAAAGUGGAGGGUGAAAGCCCCGGGCUUAACUUGGGAAUUGCGCUCGAAACUACGUGGCUGGAGUGUGGCAGAGGAAGGUGGAAUUCCACGUGUAGCGGUGAAAUGCGUAGAGAUGUGGAGGAACACGAAUGGCGAAGGCAGCCUUCUGGGCCAACACUGACGCUCAUGCACGAAAGCGUGGGGAGCAAACAGGAUUAGAUACCCGGGUAGUC